Molecule: long non-coding RNA, 722 nt
Filed under: Homo sapiens (human)
Lineage: Eukaryota; Metazoa; Chordata; Mammalia; Primates; Hominidae
Description: HSALNT0325412
Source: RNAcentral
GAAGCUCAAAGCCGCACUGGAAACACAGUCUUUCAGGAUGUCUGAAAGGGGCAAGUCUGUUUGUGUGGGGUAAGAAAUGCGGGGAGACAAACGGACAGUGGACAGAUUGCAGAGAGCUCUGUGUGCUGAGAGGAGGGUGCAGACCAGAUUUUUAAAUUGAGAAUGCAACAGUGAAGGAUUUCAAGCUUGGAGUGAGAGGGGAGACUACGAGCCUGCAGUGAUAAGGCAAAGCUGAAGAUUUCAGAGCCAAGGCCACACCCUACAGUUGCCAUGGAAUGGGGUGGCACAGUGGGCUUUGGAGGCUGGGGAGCUGUGCUUUGGAAAAGCAAUGAGGAGGUAACAGGAAGUCUCUUCUCCUUCUAAAUCCUGUGUUCAUGGAGGAGGGUGGGUUUUCUCCUCUUGAGAGGGAGUUACAUACAAGUUUAAGGGAAAAGAGUCUGAAGUUUCCACCUAAAUGAUUCUGAAAGAAUCAGGAAUCAAAGCUGGAGGAGCGGAAGAUAUACAGGGAGUCCACGGAGCCUCCCCUGCAAGCAUCAGUACAGAAGUCGAUGAUAAUCUGGAUGCAAGCCCAGGAGUGUGGAGUCCACUGACUCAGAAGACCUGCAUCUAAGGAAUUGGCUGUUCUUAUCCUUAAGAAUGAUGACUGUGUUUCCAAUUCCAGUAGACCCUUUGAUGCGUUCUGAAUAAAUAUUCCUUUUGGAAUUGAACUUCUAGAGCCCUUA